UUGAGUUUCAUCCACAUUCUGUGACCAAUUGAUAAAGAAACUCAAAGUCUGCAGUCCGUGUUGAUUUUAGAAAGUCAGUCUCUGAAGCCCAUUUCUGGAAGGAGUUUAAAGAGAGAAGAGGACUAGAAGCCAGGUUCAGUCUUCUGGUGGAUGCUUGGAAAAGGAUAAGUGGUUUCUGGGAUCAUUAGAGUGGAUCCGAUUACCUCGUGGAGUAAUGAUGGAAACAAAGCAUAAAAUCAGAGGGACUGUAAGCACCCUGCAUUCUUCCUUCGGGCAAGUAAUACCAUAGCAUCGAUGACAGAUAGUUUUCUCUGCGCUUUAUUUUUUCUGAAGGUUGGCAGAACUAGAACAUUUACAGUGGUACACAUUUAAGUGUUUUAAUAUCCAGGUGAUUAGGAAGUGCAGAAUCUCUUUUGCUGUAUUUUCAAGGCUUUUGUUCUGACUGCAUAAAUUUAAAAGCAGCUAAUGUCUGUAGUGAAACAUUUCUCACUGGAAAAGUCAUGGACAACGGGGGUGUUUGCCUACCUAGAGUCAGGGACUUAAACUGCAAUCAAAUGUUCAGGCCUUAUUUUCCUCAAAUGUGAAGGAAAGAACAAUGCUUGAGAUACAGCUAAGGUAUUUUUAAAGUAUGCAAUUUGUGUGACUCUUGCUGAGUCAGGUGAGUGGGUGAUGCUGGCAGAGUCGUAGAAGAAACUGACUUCUAGCAAGGGAUGGGAACCCACGCUAAACAGAACAGGAGUGGGGCCGAGCGUGUGCUCAAGGAGAAGGAAGCCUCUGGGUGCUUAGAUGGUGGGACUGAUGGCUGAGCAGUGAUAUGAAAUGACUGUGUCGGGGGCCCAAAGGGAAAAGGACUUGCCCUGGGUACCUCAGGAUGUGAGAGAAGAGCUCAGCUGGAGUCUGGCAGUGGAGGUAGAGUGGCCUGUUAGAAAGGACUGACUCAGGAAAAGAAAGGAAAGAAAGGACUCACUCUAAGGAAUUGCUUGCUGGCUGGAGGGAAAUAAAAUCGUGAAAGAACAAGGAGUCCUGGUAAUGUUCUAGACCUACCAUAAAAUUGCUUACUGUGAGACUAUUGUGCUUCAGUUGUAGUCCAAAUGGGUAACAUUUGUACCCCACAUUGUAUAGUAGUAAAUGUCUUGGUGUGUAUUUGGACAGACUCGGCCGUCUGUUACUCAUUAGGAGUACCAAGAAGGGGAUUCUCGCUAGCAGGCACGAGAGAGCAGGAUCCAGUGUCUUCACAGGACAAAACUUCAGUGCAUUAAUUCAGCAAGCGCAACACAGCCUUCAGGUGGCAUCUCUGGGGGUGGGGUUGGGGAGGGCUGGCAGAAAAGAAUCUUUUUUUACACAGCAUUUGUUUGAUGCUUCAAGUUAUUCUCUCAUUGUCAUUUCUCAGAACAUGGCUGGAUUUGGCCCAUUUAACCACAGGCAGAGACCUGGAGUUUAUUUCAGAAGAAAGCCCAGUAGUCAGUAGAAUAUAGGGGUCUGGAGAUACGAUAAUAUUAUGUGAUUUCCCUGUAAUGCAGUUGGAAUUGUAAAGACUAGGAUAGAUUUGAGGUAUGGAGGUUACAUGACUCUAGUUGAAUUACCCUCUGGUUUUCGUCAUCGUUGUCUGCCCUGUUAAGUUUUCUGAAACUUAGUACAGUGUUUCUCUAGUUUAAUUUGAAGCAGGAAUUAUUCUUUGAUCAUCAGGCAAUAUCUCAGCUAGUUUUCGCACUCAGACUAUCUUUAAUCAACAGGUAACUCUUGAUACAUAUUAAAUACAAGUGCAUUACAUGCUGUAAGCAGAUACUAAGAUGAACGAGAGGCAGACAUUUAUUUCUCAAGUUGUCUGAUCUAAUGGGAGAGGAGGAUGGUCUGUUGAAUGGUGGUUGGGAAGUUGGGUUCUGCAGUCAAACCCAGUCCAAAUUAAGAUCUGGGUUUCGAUAAGUAUUGGAUGUAUAAGCAUGGAAAAGCUCCUCAGUCUCUCUAAACCUUAUUGGGUUAUCCAUCUAGUACCUGUCAGCACUGGAAUCUCUGUAAUAGUACCUGUCUCAGCGGGGUACAGGAGGCCGCCUAGGACAUGGUGGUUGUAAAGGAUUCGGAACGCAGGGAUUCCUCCGUGAACACUGACAACAGGCACAGAUGGAGAGAAUGCUGCCUGACCGGCCCACGGCAUUAUGACUUUCUGGAAGUUCGUGUUAGGUAAACAACUUAGGGUGCUCUCUGUAUGGAUGCAAUGCCAUUAACUAACAUUCCCAGAGGCAAACACAAGAAAUAACAGGAGAGAACAAAAAACCUUAUUUUUUUUAAUUCACAGAAGUUGUCUAAGCAAAUUAUAUUUCUUAUUUUCUGAGGUAUUUUGUUUGUAUUACAUUCUGGUAACACAUGUUAAAGGAGUUGAACAGCCUGAAUCAAUAGGGAAAAACUCACCAAUUCUUUUAGUACAUGAUUAUUGAGCCUGUUAUGUACAUGUCUCAUGGAUUCAAGCACUAGACGUAGAUUAUCCACACGGAAAAUAAAACUAGUUAAGGAGCCGUUCUGGUGAUUGGCACUCAAACGCAGGCGUUUGCCUGACUGUUGAAGCCAGACGGCUACACAUGUUGGAGGAUUUUCAGCCAUGGAUACCUUGACUGUUUCUCUCGGACAUCUUAAGUAUCUGUAAAUGUUCAGUACCACUAAUUACCCUGUGGUGUGAUUUAUUCUUUAAAAGGUUAUGCAACGUUUGAUAACAUGCAAAAGUUUAUAAUAAAUUCUUUAAAUUAAUAGCACAUAAUACUCCAUUAAAGCUGCUGUGUGAAGAGGAGCUUAAGUCAUUUACUGUUAUUAUGGCUAACUAAAUAUACAUCAGUUGGUAAUUAAAUACUUCCUGAAUGCCACCUCUGUGUCUCCUGUCAAAGGUCUGGUGAUGGUCCUUGGGCGUUUUCUUGGUCAGUAGGUCCAGUAUUUGGGAAGAAGAGCUGAACAUGGUCCAAAGGGCUGUGAGGGUAAGCUGGAACCCAGCAGUGUCCGUGUCUGUCACCACCUAACCAAGAAGCAAAUAAUGGCUUCAGAGAGUAACAGCUGUUGAUGAUAUAGUUCCUCCUUUCAAAUCUCAAGUACAUUCCUCUCUUGGCCAGCUCUGACCUUGAACCACUCAUGGAAGGGAAUUCUGGGAAAUGUAGUUCCACCUUGCCCACGUUACUACAGUUCAAACCUCAUGUGUUCCUGUACUUAUUUGUUGUAUUAUAAAUCAGAGGGACAUUCAGAGUUAUUUAUUCUUAGAAGAUAUCAGGAUAUUUAAGAUACCAGAAUACUUAAAAAAUAAAAUUUAACCUGAUUAUACAAUUGUUUUCUUUUCCAUUAAACCAUGUCUUUAUUUUCAAAGCCAUGAAAUAGCUUAAAACAGGAGUAAUAUAAGCCUACCUUCUUCUGUUGCAAGAAAACAUUCUUUUAAUUUGCUAAGUUGGAUCUCUGCCAAAACAUUUUUUUUGAAAAAAGUUAUCUAGUACAGUGCCAUCUAGUGGUAUGUUAAUUUAUUUUCUGGUUAUGAAAGUAGUUCACUACCACAUUUUACUUGGUAAAUCAAGAACUUUACUUUUAAUCAUGCCUAACUCAUAAGACAUAGGGAACUAUUUUUAAGUAAAUCAAAUAUUUGUAAAUAAAGAGAACUAGAAAAGGGGAAAAAGCUGGAAAAGUGGUUUAUUUUACCCUUAGAUUCUAUUCUACUUCAUUUUCAUACAUACUGAGUCACUAUUUGUUCAUAUGAUACCAUUUGGAUCCAGGAGGAAAGUGGGUUUCUUGUUUACAAAAAGAACAGGAUUAUUUUAGAAAUGUGAUGGGGCGGAAUGAGCAUGGGCUUUUAAGUCAGACAGGCAUGGGUUUGUCUUUCAGCCUCACUUGGCUUAUGUUGUGGCACGCCGUGCUCCAAGAACUUGACAUGAAUCAUGAAAUGUUCACAAAAACCCGACGAGGCGUGCUACAGACGAGGAAGCCAAGGCCCACAGAAUGGUUAGUGUUGAGUGCGUAAUCUCAUUGUUUUUCAGUGAUUGGUGUGUUUACCUGUUUCUCUAACACAGUGACCUUCUGCAGGAGGAUCUCACUCCCGUUUUCCCAGCACCUCGUAUGGAUUCAUAUGUUCCCAAUCCAGUUGGUGAAUAUUUGACUAUUUUUUUUUGCUUCCAUGAAGAGUCACAACAAGAACGAUAGAAAAUUAAAUUGUAGAUAAAAUAUCAGAAAAAUCAGUGUUUUCUCAAGGGAUUACACAGUUAGAAACCUUAGGCUCUGUUCUCUGAUUGGUCACUUAAUUUAAUUUUAAUCUCAGUUAUAUAUGCACAGAAUUUCAAGAGUUGUACAAGGCUUGUUGCAGAACUCAGCAAUCUCCCAGCUCUCACCCCUCCCCCCUCUCACUCCUCCCCCGGUCCCUGCUCUAGGGGGUUCAUCUUGGAGGCCUGGUUCUGCUUUAUCUCCCGAUCGCUAGCUAACUUGUUGUUCUUUCCAAUUUUUAAUUUUUCAGCCAUAGGCAUUACCUUUGAUAUCUCAUGAGAGAUGAAGAGGAUUUAUCUUUCUUAUACACCCUUACCCUAGGUGAAGGGCCCUCCUUUAAGUUUUGAAUAAUCAGUGUUUAUAUUAGUAUAACUAUAAAACAUUAUUCACAGCAUGGUUGUUUUUUCUAACACAUUAUGUUGGUUUGUUUUCCCUGGUUUAUGUUGUCUUUUUGGAGAGAAGGGUAUUGUUUGUUUGCUUAGAUUUUCUCUAUCACUUCCUCAUUUCAGCUAUUUUCCAGGUUCCUAAGUAUAGUUAGGAUAUGUGACUUUGAGCCAGUUUAGCUCUUCUGAUGAAAUAUUUUGUCACUUAUAGACUGAAGGGUACAGAUGACAUGAAGAGUGUAGGCUGCUUGUAUUCUGAAAACUUUGUUUUCCUGGAACAGGCACCUGGAUGUUUUGUGCUGACCAUGUUGUUAAUGGACCCCAUUGCCAGCCCUUACCCAGCCCUCCUCUCUGACCUGAUGGUCUUUUCUUGGGUUGGCUGGAGCAUCUCUGCUGCCUCCCAGAGGGACUGGGGGAUUCAGGAUCUGGCUGGAAGUGGAGUCCCAUUAGUGUGGGACCAAGACUGCUGGUCGGCAAGAGCUCUGCCAGGUGCACACAAUGAGCUAGAAAUACCCCAGCCCAGCCAAAAGACCGGAAAUUCUUCGACGAGGAAGAGUUACUAGAGUCUUGUGACAGGUAGAAGCACUUACCUUUUAUAAUGAGUAGUUGUGGAGAAGCAAAUGUACAGAUAAAAGUUGCCAGGGGUGAAAUGAAGACGAAAUGGCAUGUAAGAUACGAGCCAACAGUAAGUAAAAUCUUGUUUGAAACAAAGAUAAAACAGAAAGAUCCCUAGCAGUAGCUUCUCAUAGGUUGCUAUAGAAAAUAAUAAUGCUGGAGAUAUAAGCAUGAAUGAUCUAAUGAUUCUUAGCUUUGUAGAUAUUUUGUUUACCUCCACCAUAGCCUUAGCGUGCUUGUGAAAUGGUGUGCGAGGUGUUAUUUGGGGGGACGUCAUUGUAACUUGAUGUAAAUGUAGAAGAAAAAGUAGGGGACAAAAUGAGUCUGGAUAGGUGUGCCUUGGGGAUACUGCAGGUCUGGUUCCAGACCACUGAAGAAAGCGAAUAUUGCGAUACAGUGAGUCACAUGAACUUCUUGGUUCCUGGUGCAUAUAAAAGUUAUGUUGGGACUAUAUUGUAGUCUGUUAAGCAGGUGAUAGCAUUGUCUGAAAAAAACCACAAAACAAUGUACAUACCUUAAUUUAAAAACAUUUUUUUGCUAAAAAAAUACUAUCAUCUGAGCCUAAAUUUAGCAAGUUGUAAGUUAUAUGUUGGUGGAGGGUUUUACCUUCAAUUUGUAUAAAACUCAGUAUCUAUGAAGUGCAAUAAAGCGAACAAGUGCGAUAAAAUGAGGCACGCCUGCACAAUUUUACUAGUUUGCUACUGAAGCUGUCAUUCUAGACAGCUAGCACUAGGAGGCCACAGAGACCAUGAUUCUGGCGGACUUAGGUCUAGUUGUGCCUGGUUCCUGUUGGAGUUGAAAAGGAAACUUAGGGCAAAACGUCUAUUGAAGUGCUGUAAAAACUGCUUAAAAUUCAGGAUCACUUAACUAAAUGAAAGAUUAGCCAUCCUGUUUUUCAUAAUGUAGUAAUAAGUGAAUCUAAAGUGCAACACUUUUUCUGUAUGCUUGUGACAUUGUAAAUAAAAUAACUAUGCAUAACCACCGCUUUUUAGAAUUGUAAUUUUGACUUUUAGUUCUUGAACCCCUGGAUCAAGGCCCUGAUUGCCUUAUGCCUGGAUGAUUUCAGUAGCUUCCCGAUGGAUGACACUUUUUGUCUUACUUUCUUCCCGUCCAUUCUUGCUAAAAAUAAGAGUUUUUCAUCAGAAAUAGUUUUUGGUCAUACAUGUCCUCUGAUUGGAAACUCCGGGUAGUUUCCGGUCAGAUGGUACUCAGAUCCAAGCCCAUUCAUUCAGUCACUCAUUGAUCAAAUACGUACCAGUGCCUUUAUACAGCAGGAUGGGCAGUCGUGGGCGAUGGGUUUGCCCAUGCAUUUUCUCACAGAGUCUCUCUUACAGCUGAGUAAACACAGCUAUUCAUCCCUAAAAUUUUACCUUUGUGCCUUUAAACAUAAAUCAGCCUCCUGGUCAUUUCAUAAUUCCCCUCUUUGAGAACUGCCUCUGGUUAUUUAAGACCGGAUCUCCCUCAGUUGCGGUGGGUCCUCCCAGCCUUGGUGGGACUUAGCUCAUACUGUGCUGGUUUCAUUUAUUUUUAGUUUUGCUCUAUUAAAAACUUAAAAAAUGUAAAUUUGUAUAUGGUUAAGAAUAAGGUGGUCUUUUUUUCUUUAUAUUUCUUCUUAGUACUACCUAAGAAGUACAAAUACAGUACUAUGUAAAAAGGAAAUACUACCUAAUGACAAUAGCACAUAGCUUUCCCUGCAAGCUCUCAGCGCAGUCUUCCUAUCUAACAGAAACACAGUUUUGUUUGAGAAUCCACUCCUCUCGGCGUGUCCUUGGACUUCGGGGAGGGUGGGCUGAGGCCCCAGCCUCUGGCAUCACGAGGGUUCCAUUCCUGCCAUUUGAUGGUUGGAGCGUGAGCACGUGACCCAGUUCUGGCCCGUGGGACAGGAAGUCGGCUGUCCUCCCCGAGUUAACCUGGGAGCUGAGCCCACUUGAGGCUGAGCAGCAGCCACCACCCAGGCACGAAGGGACCCCGCCCAAACACCGUCACCGCACUGAGGAGGGGAAAGGAGAAAAACAGGAGGAACGUGGGCCUUGUCCGGCCUGACCGAGCCAUCCUCCCUUGCUGUUUCUCGUUACGUGAAGAAAAUGAAGCUUGGUUGGUUCGGGAUUUUUCUCUUGUUUUGACGAAGGCAUCUGGCUAACUCCUCAUCCGUCAGGUCUCCGUUCAGAUUUCCAGACCUCUUCCAGCUCCCGGGACAUCUCCUGUCACGGACUUGUCACACCAUCUGGUGACGAUUGUUUACUUUCCAGUGCCAACAUUGACGGUGAGCUCUGAGCGUAGGCACUUCCUCUUGUUUAUAGUUCUGUCCUUAAAAACUAGCAUAGGGCCCAUGACUGGUGAGUUUUUAAUACCUUUAUUUAUUCAUACUCUUCUGAAAGUCAGCACAAGGUUUCUGGGGCAGGGACAGAUUAUUACUUACAUCAAUAAGCUAAGUCAAGAGAUUCCUAAUUUUUAACCCCUGGAAUAUCCCAGUGACUAUGGUUCAUGCUUCCAAAAUAUAAACACUUAACUCAAGGGAGAGAGAUCACUUACUUUCUGUUCAGUCAUCUUUGAGGUUUUAAGGGUCAUCCUUUAACCUUGGUCUUCAUAAAUGUGCCCAGAAAGCUGUUGCUGUGCAGAGGUAUAAGAAUAAUCUCUUCCUGACAACGACACACAGUAGGUGCUCAAUAAACUACUUGUUGGGAAUUCAGCAAUUUUAAAGAAUAAAUUUAACUGAGUUAUUUCAAAUGGGGCAGGGAUUGAGGGCCUUGUUGGUACAAUGGGGGGAGUAUAUCAGGACUAUGAGGGGGCAUUUUUUAAAUCAAAAAUACACUUUCCACCCCAAGAUUCUGAUCUGUUAUUUCUGUCAUAAUUCCUUCAGGAUUUGUGGGGAAUCCUUCAUUGUGCUUGUGUUUGUAUUUGUGGCCACGUAGGAGGUGAGAGAACCCUGACAGCUUGCCCCGAGCCAGAGUAGCCCCCUCUCCAAACCACUGUGGCUUCCCUGUACAAGUCAGUGACAGAGCCUCGAGUGUCAGUGCUUGGUUCCUGCCAGGGGAGGGUUUGGUUUGGUGUUUACUUCCAUGGAUUUGGUGGGAUCUUUUAAAAAAUAAUUUAUUAUUAUUUGUUAAUGGCUUACCUUUUUUCAAAGAAGUUUUGAGGCCGUUCUACAGCAAAAAUAUAAAAUAAAAUGACAUAUAAGUAGGGAAUCAGAACUAAGAAAAAGUUUACAAGUAUGUCAAUUGAUUUUUCAUUCAGAUUUGGUUCUAGUGUUUUUUUAAUUGAGAUAUAAUAGACACACAGCAUUAUAUUAGUUUCAGGUGUACAACAUAAUGAACUAAUCAUAGUAAGUCUAGUUAACAUUUGUCACCAUACACAGUUACAGAUUUUUCCUUUUUGCGAUGAGAACUUUGAAGAUCCACUCCUAGCUCAUUUAAAACUUGUAACACCCUGUCAUCUGUGGUCCGCAUGCUGUGCGUUACGUCCCCAUUGGACCCCUUCACCCAUUUUGCCCACCCUCCCUGUCCCCUGCUGCAAGCGCCCACCAGUCUGUUCUCUCUGUCAGUGAGCUCAGGGGGUUUUGUUUCAUUUUGUUGUUUAAGUUGCCAUCUUAAGUGGUAGCUUUUUCUAUGGAAAUUACAAAGUAGUGGGGAGUUUUUUGGCUUUUAGUUAUUGUAUUAUUACUUGCAUCUAUCCGGCAACAUUGAUGAAUUAAUGUUUUAUUAGUUUUAAUAGCUUUUCUUCAUAAUUCUCCAUGUGUAAACAGUUAUCACUUGGAGAUAAAGAGUUUUGUCACUUCAUUAACAUUUGUAUGUCUAACUUCAUUUAUUAAAUUCACUAGGAUCUCUACUUUAUUGAAUAGAAUCAGUGGUUGUAGUCACCUUGAUCUCAUUUCCUGGUUUUUAAAGGAAAUACUUUAUUAUUUAAUAAUUAAGUAUGACUUUGUUUUAGGUUUUUGUAGAGGAAAUUCUUGAUGUGCUAGGAAUACUUCUAAAAUCAUGAGCAGCCUCCCAGGCCAACUGAGCAGUUGGUUAGAGUGUCAUCCCAGUAAGCCAAGAUUGCAGGUUCGAUCCCGGGUCAGGGCACAUACAAGAAUCAACCAAUGAAUGCGUAAAUAUGUGGAACAGCAAAUCAGUGUGCCUCCCUACCUUCCUCUAUCCCUUUUCCCCUUCCUCUUUCUCAUAUCAGUAAAUUUAAAAAGAACAUGCAUGAUGGUUAAAGAAUUAACAAAACUCUUUCUCAUUCUCGAAGGAGAAAUCUGACCUUAAAUGAAAACUUUGUAUCCAUUUCCUCUGAAUCCUGCUAAAAGUGGAAAGUCAACCAUGUUACUAGGCAGCAUUGCUUGUGGUAAAAAUGAUAUUUAUUUGGUAAAUGUAUUAGCACUGAAAAGAACUACACAGGAACCCUAAGUUCUUGAUUAGGAGAAAUAACUGGGAGCACAUUUCAGAGGUGGCAUAAACUUUGGGGGGACCCUGGAAGCUGUCACUUGAAUCAGCGAGGUACUGGUUUCUUUUGGGGACAUAGGGCUUCUGAGCCAGCAGGCAUCUGUACCCGCCCUGUGAGUCUCGUUUCCUUGUACCUGAGCUUCCAUCUGCAUGUCAGAGAGUAGUUCUUGGAUGGCCAUGUGGACUCCCGGGAAAAUUCUUCCCAUGGAGAGGAACACAUGAACACUGCUGUCAUGCCUUGUUUUCUUAGGAGUUCUGAGGAGACGGCCGCUGUGUGUGGCCUCUGGUAAUUGGAUAGCUCAGAAUGUGUAGUUGGAAGUCCCAUGUGGGCAUUGCACCGUGCAUUUAAUCGCAGUACAGGAGUAAAGUGUUUACUGGGGCUAAUCUAAGUUUAUUACUCAGAACCUUCAAUUUCUGAUUUUUAUUUAUUGGAAAACUCAUUCUCAUUGACUAUAAAUGAAUAUUAUAAACUCAAACUUACAAAAAUAAGUGUGUACAGUUUGUAAUUUUUUUGGUUAGAAUUCAUGUAUGUUUGCCAACCCCAAAAUACAUUAGCUAUUAAAAAGAGUUUGAUGACUAAGGUUUUAGACCUGUGUGGUCCAAUGGGUAGAUAAUUUGCUUUUCUAAUAAGGCUAUUGGAAUUAAUAUUAAAUAUAUCUAAAAUUUCAGUUUCUUGCACUAGUAUCAUUUCACUAGCCACAUGGGGCUGGUGGCUGCCAUAUUGGAAAGUAUAGAUACAGAACGUUUUCAUUAUUGCAAAAAGUUCUCUUGGAUGCUUUUACUCAUCGAGAUUAUCAAGAGCUUUAUAUUUUUACUGUCUAUGUUACAUCCUAUGAGAAACCGCUGAGCCAAUUAGGAUAUUGCUCAGGGACAGUAUUGAAGACCCCAGUGUAUUUUUUACAUAAUAAUCUGUGAGAGAUUCGUUUCUCAGAUUUGCAUACCAGAACAAAUUCUGUUUUUCCUGAGACUUACCAAUCCAUCAUGGCUGGUGUGAAUUUUGUAAUUGAUUGGUUUUCUCUUUUUGUUUUAUUGACCAGACAGUGUAGGGCCAAAUUUACGGCUAGAUUUAAGAAACCUCUGGCCUACAUAAUUUGCAUGCUUUUUCAUUGUCUGUAUUUUUAUAUUUAUAAAAUAUAAUUCUACUGUAGUGUUUGGAUUUUUAUAGGCUGUUUCAAAUGCUUUGCGAAAGGAGACAGUAUGAAUAUAGUAAUAAAUACCUUUAAGAUUUUGAUGGAUACUUUAGUGACUUGCUACUCUGGUCACUUACCGGGAGCCACUUACUGCUGAACGCCAGUGCUGGGAAGGAGUUACAAACCGUUCUUGGCUGGUAAUGAUCACGACACCCACCCCUGGAACUGGGACUGCUUUCCAAGUGAAGUGACUUACAGUGUAUACCUGUGAUAAAAUCGGUUUAAUUGAGUUUUCUAAAAUGUUUUUAAUUUUCAAAGUAAUGUUUGAAGAACUCUCUUACAAAACAGUUUAUAAAAUCUUCAGGCACGUUAGGAUUGGUAGGGAACUUCAACCAAGGCCGUAUCUGAGUAUUUUGAGCUGGUGAACCAGGUUUGGGUAAAAUGGGGAGGGUACUGUUUUGUUUUUUAUGGAAACUUUUGUAUUUUGAGGGUAGCAGAAAAUUGAAUUCUGGGCAUUUAUACCUUCUCAGUGUAAAAACACCACAGAGUUUUUCUUCUCCUAUUUUAUUCUGGAACUUACAAGCAGGUUGACAUUAUAUAUUUCAUUUACGUUUUGCAGCUUCUCUUAGUUCUGAAAGCACUUAAAGCAGCUUAACACAUUUCAGGCCAAAAGAUAAAGCAACUUUAUAAAAAAUAAAACCAACUUUAUCUCAAAGAAGUUGAAAGAUUAAGUGCUCCUGUGAAUCAGUGUUCAGAGUAGACUCGGUCACAUACUGGAUUUUACCUUUUCUGCAUGCUCAAGUGACAAACAGAAACAGGAUUCUAGCGUUUUCAUGUAGUGACAACCGGAAGCACAUAAACAUCUGCAGAAACCAAACAUUUCCUGGAACUAAACUCGAGCAGAAAUGUGUCACGUGAAUCUUUGUUUAAAGAACCUGGUGAAAAAUAUCUUCAACCACAGUUAUGUAAAAGGCCCAGGAGCACGUUCCCGUGGAUCGGGUCUCCAGAGACAGCAGUGGAGUCUGGGACGCGGUGGUCAGGAGGCAUUUUAUAAACGCUCUCCAGAGUCAGAAGAGCCUGGGACAUUUCACCAUCUGGAGCUUCUCUGCCUGGCCGAUCCCAGCUCCAACCUUCCAGUCUGUGGGACCAACCUGCCAGUCUGUGGGAGAUGGUAGACAGCACCCUGUAACAGCUGAGUUGCAAAAAUAUCUGCGUCUAAGGACUCGGGAGGACUUAUUUAUGGGAGCAAAGGCAGUGAGUGAGUCAUACCUGCAGGCUGGGAAAUGAGAAUUCACUUGAGCCUCGUCAUCCAGUCAGGAGGUUUCCUAGGCAACCAUUUGUGCAGUAAUUAAAAGAUGAGGAGCAAAGAGGAGGAAAAUGGAAGAAACAGACAAUUUUAAUGGAAUGGAAUAAACCACUGAACAGAAUUUGCUUUCGUGGUAUGGCAGCGUGGAGAUGUAGCUGGACUCCUGGACUGGCCCCCGGCUCUGCUGGUCCCCACAGGGAAGGAGCUGGCCCUUCUGUACCUUUCUCUAAAGCCAGGAAAGUAAUAUGCCUGCCGCACGUUUGGAGAAGGCAAGAAGACUUGAGCUGUCCCCAGGUCAUGGUGAGUGUUACGUAGCUGUUGGCUGGCAGCGAUUACUGUAUUACUUUUAUAAUAAAGGCUCACAGAAAAGGGAAUGUUUUUAAAGAAGAAACUGAAAAGCAAAAGUCCAUUACAUUUACACUGUCCUAUGCUUCAGCGCUCUCUCUUCGUAGCAGACACCCCCGCCGGCUGCAUGGGACAGGUGUUACUGUGCAUUCCCGUUCUCUCCCAAAGGGAGCUGUGGAGCAGUGUAGGUUUUUCUCUUGAGCUCCCUGGGGUACCUGUGCCCUGAAAAUACAGGGGGUGCUUCAUAACGGUUACUGGAACUGCAUUAUCUCUUAUAAAGACUUCACGGGGAAAGAUACUCCUUAACCUCACAUCUUCCUCUCCUCCUCCUGUGCUGGGCUAGCUCAGAGAAAAGACAGCAGUCACUCACUUGAAAUGCCGCCCCCCCCUCGCCUGCGUUUGGACUUCACGGUUGUGCUCAGCUCCUGGCCCUGGUUCUGCUUUCUCCAGCAGUUUCCUGGCCAGAGCAGGAACUGGAGCCGAGUCCGAGCGAAGUGACCUUCUUUCCCCCUGGUGCUCCCCACACGCCCUUGGAAGCAGAGCGGACCCUCACGGUAGUCCUGUGUGCAUAUCAAGAAGGGUUAAGGAUAACUCAGAAACAAAAUCCAGCUCAGAGCAAGUGUGAAGGCUGUUAAUGCCAUACUAAUGGCAUAAGCCCAGUUCACACGUGAUACUUGGGUUUCACAGACAGACCAGGUUGCAUGAUCGAGUGAAUGGUGAGCUCUCUUCCCGUGGUCACGAGAUGGGCAUCGUAUUCCAUGGGAAGCGUUGGUCUUUGCUGUGCAGAUGUGGUUGAGUAUGGUUUGGGAAGUGCCCCAGAUGCACAAAGUGGUGCUGCGUGGCUCUUGUGAUCUGACAUGAGAAACGCCUUCAACAGGACCCCUUUCUCCUGUGUGGGGGCUGUGCCCCCCAUCCAGCCCUCACUCAUGUCCCACAGCUCCCGCACGCAUUUCUCUUUCUUACUUCUCCACCUGACCUCUCACCUGCUGUAGCUAGCCACCGUCCCACGUCACAGAGAAGAGAGCCCACCGGAGGGCGAACUGGCUGCGGGUCCUGCGGCAUCACCACACUUUGUCUGCCGCUGCCCUGUUUCCCUAGCCUCCUGUGUCAGCACAAGAGCUGUCCCCGUGUCCAGGGCUCUGGAAGCCCCCCUCAACCCUCUCACUUUCUCAGGGACUUUCUCUCUCUGACCUUAUGCCUCCCAUUUGCCAUUGAUUUUUUUCCAGCAGCAUUUAAAACUACUCAAGUCUUGUCAAUUAAAAAAAAGAAGACACAGGCCUUCCCCAUGGCCAGGGCCAGUCUUGGAAGAACUGGGUGUGUCCGCUGCCUCCAUUUCCUCACUCCUGCCCUCUCCUAACCCCCCCCCCCCCCCCGCUGGCUCUGGGCCUGUGACGCAGCUGAUACUGGCUCUGGCCACGGCUGGCAGGUGCCUUCCUGCCGUUCCAUUGCCACCUUUGUUCGAUACAUUUGGCUCCUUGUUUUCCAUGACCUUUCAGCAGUGACAGCGUGUGCAGUGCACUCUCCUCUCUAGCCUCCAGGACCUGCCCUGCCCUCUGGGUUUUUCUCCUCAUUGCCCUUUGCAGGCUCUUUCUAUCCAUCUCGAAGCCCCUGGCUUUGUAUUCAGAUGCCAGCUGGACAUUUCCACUUUGAUAACUUGUGGGCGUCUCAUACCCAACAUUUUCCAAACUCAAUUCAAGUUAUACAAGUUUAAAAUCUGUGCCUCGUUUGGCCCCUUUCCCUCUCCAUCCAAAUCCACAAAGAAACCAAAUCAAAAUUCUAUGUAUCAGGAGUCCUCAAGGCCAUCUGUUUUGUCUCCGGUGUCCCCUCCAUGGUCACCGUCACCUCAGCCUGCCCCUGCUGUUUGUGUUCUUCCCCAGUUUGUUCCCCUGACUGCAUUCCCAGCGGUGCUUCUAAGAAGCAUCCUUGUCUCGUCACUUCUCCACUUAAAGGCUUAACUGUUUCUGUGAUGCCCUGUACCCACACUGACUGGGGUCCCUUCAGAGUAUGUGUUUCUACCCUCUGCACAAACAGGUUAGCAGAGCGCUCGAGUUCACGGGGACGUGGAGGACAGGGUCGUUUCCCACUCUGCACAGCAGAGCCUGAUGGCAGUCCCCGCUGGACGUCAGACCCUGCUGCCCUCCAGGGCUCCUCGUCGUGGGCCUCCUGUCCCUCCCAUCUCCUCCGCCCUUCCCCACUCACCUGGUCACCUGUUCGUGUGUCCCAGCCCCAGCGUCUUGCACCUGUAGUGCUUCUGCUCUGUUUACCUUCCCCUUUUCUUGUUUAGAGUCGCUCAGCUCUUUCCUGAAUGUUCUGGUCCCCAAAUUGCAUCCCUGUCUUGUCCUAGUUUGGGUUCCUCUUGAAGCAGAUUCUGAACAGGGGUGCUCUUCGCCUUCACCGCCUAUGUAAGAACCUCUCUGUGCCUCAGGUUUCUCACCUUUAAAAAUUCUGCUGCAUAAGGUUGUAGUGAAAAUUCAGUUUUGUGCCUGGAAAGUGCAUACAACUCUGACCCGUAGUAGUGGUCCGUCCAGCUGGCCACAGCGGUGAUACAAACUGGCAUUAUUAGAAGUGGUGCUUCUUACGGGUUUCCAUCCUCAGUCUAGCCGGACUGGACGAGAGCCCCUCCUGCUCCACCGGCAGUGCCCAUGCCCCCUUCACACUGUCAGUGCCAGCUCGAUGAGGGAGCUUGAGGUCUCCUGCUCAUUCCCAGCCGGUGCCCAGCCCAGUGCCUGGAGUACAGUGUGUACUGUGCACUGGGUACUCAAUAAAUAUUUUUUAACAAUUAACCAAAUAGCUUGUAGAAAAAGCAUUCUGAUUAUGUUAUGCUUUCUACCCAUUUACAAGAUAAAACAUAGCCAGGGCACCGUGACUGUGUGCCAGGGGCAAGGCCUUGACGCCGGCAUCACCGAGUGAGCCCGGGCAAGCGCUCUCCCCGGGUCAGCUCCAGGACAGGCCUCUGUGCAGCCCCCAAGCCCCCCAGUGCUGUGGUAACAGUGCAGAAGGAUAGAGCGCGUUUUGAGCACGCCCAGGGUGGGUGCCCCUCAUCGUUACGGGUUUUUUCCGUUAGCUGAUGAGAAAGUCGUCAUGUUACUUGGACUUGCAGGUUCUUUCCUAGUUGUGGGGAACUUUUCAAGCUGUAAUGAAAAGGUCUCAAAAAACCACAGAGAGGUCUAGUGUGUUCUCUUCAAGUUCAACAUAAUGCCCUUCUUAUUUUCACUUUUCACUGCCUCUCCUUCUGAGCUGACUUCUAUAGUUACAUGUAAAGAAUCUAGUAUCAGAAAUAAGGUCUGUUUGCUUUUGAUGCCUGCACCAUUCUUGAAACUUUCGUUCAUGCCACCAGAAGGCCUUCUUAGGACUUCUGACUUCCUUCCUUCCUUCAUGUCACUGUAUUCAGUGUGUGUGCAUAGCUUUUAACUGUGGCAAAACACAUAGAGCAUAAAACUUCGUCUGCACCAUUUUUGAGGGCGUGUUUCAGUGGCAUCAGGCUCCCUCGCGUUGAGCGGCCACCGCCGUCAUCCAUCUCCAGCGCUCUGUCAUCUUGCAAAACCGAAACUUCACACUCACUGAGCACUGACUCCCCAGUCCCGCUUCUCCCCAGCCUCUGGCAGCCACAGUUCUGCUUUCUGUCUCUGCGAGUUGCACUGCUCUGGGGACUGCAUGUCAGUGGCAGAAUCAUACAAUGUGUCGUCUUUCUCUGUCUGGCUUAUUUCACUUAGCGGCAUGUCCUCAAGGCCUUUUCACGUUGCAGCAUCAGAAUUUUCUUCCUUUCAAGGCUGAACAACUCGGCGUUGUACGUAGAGAGACCACAUCUCGUUUAUCCAUUCGUCCAUUGGUGGCCACUGGCGUUGCUUCCGGUUUUUGUGGCUGCUGUGAACACAGGGGUACGUGUGUUUCUCUGAGACCCUUCUUUCAGCUAUUUUAGACCCAGUGAUUUCUUGAAUCAUCUUCUGUCUUGAUGCUUCUGUUGUUGUCACGGACUCCUGCCUUCCUCUUUUGGUCGUUCACUCCCCCUCCCCCACUGACCUUCCUCACCGUUUUCCUAAUAACGUCCUGCGGUCGAGGUCUUCAGGUCUCAUUGUGACCCUCACAGAGCCGCUCCACGGAGAAAACAGUUUGACAGCUAAGAAUAUGAUUUGUUCCCACCUCCCACACACCCACCAGUGCCUGCUGGUUUCUAAAGCCAUACUGGGGGUUUCUAAAUUUUUAAAAAAUCCUUUUAUAAUCGGACAGAAUUUUAUGGCUACAGACAUAAAAUGUAUUUUGAAGUUUAACUGUGAGUGAUAGCAUCUUCCUCAUGUGUGUGUCAGUCCUGCCAUUGUGAAACUAAUAUUUAUUCAUUGUCAUGAAAACAACAUACGACAAUUGUAGAAAACUUGUAAGAUACAGCAAAAAUGUUGUACACAAUAAAUUACACUACCUAAAGAAAACCACUGUUAACAUCUUGGUGCAUAUCCUUCCGGUCUUUUUUUUUUUUUUUUUAAUCUAGCCAGAGACAUUUUUCAUUGCAUUUUUUAGAGAGAGAGGAAGGAAGAGGCAGAGCGAUUGGUUGCCUCCCUUAGGUGCCAGGACUGGGGGUGGUGUGCACCUGGACUGCACCCAGAUCAGGGGUCAAACCCACUGCCUAGGCAUGUGCCCAACCAGGAAUCGAACUCACCACCUUUCCGGGUAUGGGAAGAUGUUCUAACCAACUGAGCCACGCCAGCCAUGGCUAUCCUUCCAGUCUUUUUAAUGUGAAUUUUUAUAUAUUUAAGAUCAUAUUGUUUUGCACUUCUUUCUCACACUUAAUAAUAAAGUAUAAGCAUUCUUUUGUUUUAAAGGGCUUUGUAAAUAUUUUAAUUACUUUGUGUGACCGAGAAACACUUUACGGGACAUGCCUUUGCCUCAAUCACAUUUUUCUAAUUAUAAAAAUCAUAUGUUUCCCAGAGAAUGUCACACAUCUCAGUAUUAUAAAGACAUAAUGAAAAAAACCUAAAAACUCUGUCUUUUCCUUCUUAAAAGAGCUUUUUAAAUGUAUACUUUUCUAGCCACCUUUGAGAUCAGCUUCUCUUGCCCCACCAUUCGUUGGCUCCCCCGGCCCCAACUUCCUCUCACCCAGCAACAUCCCACCUAACAUUGCACAUUGUGAUCUGCACUGUCAUUUUCUCCAAAAACCGCUCUUUGAACAUAGGAGUUUAUCUAUCAUAAUUUAUGUGACCACAUGCUCCCCCCACUUCUGGGUGUUUGAAUUGUGCCCCGUGUUAUGUUACUGGAAGGAUGUCCUUCUGCAGUUACCUUUCUGUAUAGCUGCGAUUGUGUUUUUACGGAGAUAUUUAUAGACAUGUUAUGAGUCAGAGCAGUUUGGAGGCUUAUAAAAAGGUAUUGCUGAUUUCCUGAAAUGAUUGUCUCAUGUCACUUCGCUGGCUUUGCUCUUUUUGUUGUCCAUCUCUGUGUUUGCUAGUGAUAUUCAACACUUUUUCAUGUGUAUUGGCCUUUGUAUUUUGGGGUGCGUAGUCUUUCAGUAUCACUUAGCUUUUAUGCUGAUAAAUCAUAUAACGUGUAUUAUCCUGUUGCGAGUAUUUUGUUUUUCUGUUUACCUUUCAGGUUUGUCUGCUGCUUUUUUUUGUCUGACAUACAGCGAUUUUGCAUUUCAAUGUAGUUAGGUUGAUCCAGAUUACCUGUUAACUUUUUUCAUUACUUUUAUUAUAAAGCUAAGACUUUUCCUAUCUCAAAUUCAUAAAUAAUUUUUCUAAUUGCUUUCUUUUUCCCCUUUUAACACUUAACUCUUAAAUCUCCAUAUAGUUAAUUUUGGUGAAGAUUAUAAAGUAGGAGCUAAUUUUUUUUUAUUUUCUAGAAUACUAUGUGGUUCUCAUGUUUGUCCAACAUUUCAGUAAGGCCAUGACAUGAACUAAAACAGGUGCUUUUUUUUUUCUUUUAAGUGCUUACCUGGGGACAUAUUAAUUUAAGAGAGAGGAAGGGAGACAGAGAAGGAAACCUUGAUGGGUUGCCUCCUGUACACGCCUCAACCUGGGAUCGAACCCACAGCCUUGUGGGAUGUGGGAUGAAGUUCCGACCAACCCAGCCACCCAGCUAGGGCAGUAAGUGCUUUCUCUUAUUUUAAUGCCUUGAUUUCCACACUGUGAAAACGUGAGAAGGCUGUGAUUUACCGGUCGGGGGGCAGGCUCCGGGGAGACGGGCCGGCACCAUCUCAGAAGCUUUAUUACCCCUCAGCCUAGAGCUUGCCCUGACUCUUCCCAGCUCAGGACGUCGGAUGCUCAGCACGUCGGAUGCUCAGCACAGGCGGGCGGGGGCCUGAGGUAGCACCGGUGAUAAUGAGGGUGGGCCAGAGUGAGCCUCUCUGCGUUUUGACCCUAUUUCAAUUAUUCACGACGAAGGUCAGCAACCAGGGCUCCACUCAUCAGAGACUUAGUUGAACCUCAGGUUAUAGACAUGAGGCAGCGCGUAGCGAAAGGAAGCCCUAGCCUAACAAAGUCAGAAAUCUUGGGGCCGGUGUCAGCUGUCGGUCUGUGUGACAGAGCAGAGUCUGUCAGCUCCUCCAGUUGCCUGGUUUGUAGCAUUAGGGAGUCGAGGUGUCUACUUUGAGGUUUAUGUUCAAGAAAUCAGGCAAGAAUUAUUCAGAUACUACUUAAUGAUGACCCUCUUACAACUUACAUGCCUCAGAUGAAAAUUUUGUGGCCCUGAUGUUUUCCUCUUGAGAAUGCAUUUCCUGUACUAAGAUACCGUAACUGCGUGAGCGCUGUAGACCUUUGUGGAGUCCGGGUAAAUCGAAAGAGUUGGCUGCUUUGCUCCAGGAACACACAGCUCUCCAUGGCGGAUAGAGCUGAGGUAUUUGUACGUGGCUGCAGCUGGUGAUUUGUUGGAUUACACUUAUGUAUGGCCCGAUCUUCCAAUAACAUGAAAAAUGGCCUUUAAAAAAUAAACUUUGAAUGGAUAGGAUCUUCAAAGAAACAGUUCUUGUAUUAAUUAAACUUUCAUUUCUCACCGUGAUUGCUUUGAUCUCGUAAUACUUUUUAAAUGUCCUGAGGGCUUAUUUUCAAAGCUUUCAUACAAAUUAUUAUUUCUCAAAAGCCAUAAUAUAUUCAUGGCUCAGUGAAUCCUAAAGACAGUAUUUUUAAACCCUGUUAAGUUUUUCUUCGUGUGCUGGUCUGCUGCAAAAAAAUUUUUUUGCUGUGGGUCAUGUGAUUCCUCCCGUCCAUAAUACAAGCACUUAAAAUUUUUACUUCCUGAUUGAGCCAUCAGAUUAUGUAAAAUGUAAAUCAGUCUAAAUACCUAACAACAGGAAUUUUAAGGGAGAACUGCCGUGUGCGUUUUCUGUUUUACUCUCAAUGCCUAAAAAACCGGAGUGUGUGCUUCCCUGUUUAUAUUUGGAAACACGAGACCGUCAGGGAUUUGUUUUGCCCUGUCCCUCUCAGAUUAAGUCCAAGUUUGCUUUCAUUAUAAAAAUAAUGCACUGACGAGGUAGACCGUGGGAGUGGUCCAGUUACAGGACUGAAAUCAGAACAGUUCCAAUGACAGAGAGCGCUACCCACUUGUCAGCCUUUUCAUGCUCUGAAUGAGGAGCGCAGCAUCUCUCAAAAGGUAAUGAUUUGAUAUUUUGGAAUUGCAGGUGGUGACUUAGCAUUUCUGCUGCCUCGUACAAGUUACAGUAAUUUCUAGCAGCCUGGAUGACACUUGUUUUGUCAUGGAUCUUAAAAUCCCUUGCGUUUUUCCCACAACAGUUUUGAAGUUGUCAUAGUAACAUAGUAACAGCAUGAUAUUUGGAGGGUCUUUUUAGUAGUUCUUUAGCUUGUGUUAAUUAAUUUUAUUAACUGUGGAUGUCUUUCUUUUCACUCCUCUCUGGCAAACAAGGGCCAGCAUUGCUCAGAUAUGUAUUUCAUGUUCUUUAUUUCUUGAUGACUAGAGUUAAAGGACUUGGUGUUUUCUAAGUUGUUUCAAGAAAGGAACAAGAACGUUAUCAAUUAAUUUCAGACAGGUUAAACUUGGAUUUUUAGUUACUUCCCUGUAACAUGCACUACCAGUGGAGAUUUAGUUUUGUUUAAAGAGAUGGGUUAUGGGAGCUAUUCCCCAAACUGGUGGUGGUGAUGAACCUACAGGUGUUAACAACUGGCCUUUGCUUUGGUUCUGCUGUCUGUGGACUGAGAGUUGAGGAACACAGAAGGGAAGUCUGCCGGACUUACAGGUGACGAUCAUGUCUUUAAAAAUGCAGCACUCACGUACAGAACCACAAGCUUGCUCCACAGAAUGGGGCAGGGGGGAGGGUAAAUCUGACUUUCAGAAUUAAAACUUCAGUACUGUUUGAAACUAAAAAAUGCUGAAAUAAAGUAUCCUCCAGGAAAGUUUGUGGGAAUUUUUUACUGAGAGAAAGGUCGUCAGGAUCUCCUGUUAGUAGGUCUCUGUGGCAGACAUGCUUGCCAACAUGGCGAUCGGGGAGCGGGGGGGCCUUUCCUUUGGGCAGGGGAGAGGGUCAGAGGCAAGAAUGGUCUGUACUGGGUCUGGACACUGAGGCUUUAAACGGUGUCCCAUGUUGGAUGCUUGUGUUUUCUUGUAAAAGUGAUCAGAGAGAUGUGACACUUGGGAAAGGUAUCCCGUGAGCUCCGCUGAUUCCGUGCUAAUGCCGGUGUCCUUUCUGUUCUGUGGAGUGUCUGUUCAACCCGGGGCCAGGCAAGGCAGCGGGGUGGCAGCCGCCUGUGCAGCCAGCAGCAGCGGAGGUGCUAAUGCAGGGCCGGUGAUGUCAGGAGUUACGAGACAGCAGUUUCAAAACACUGCUGUAAACAAGGUCAACGUGUCCCGUUUUGCUGGGAGAAGUUUUGUUUUUAUGGGCUGGGCAGUACAUGGAUGAAGUACUUUCAAAACAAACAUUCAGCUUGUUUGUUUGUUUGUGUUUUUACAUUUUUGGAUUUAAAAAUUAACCAGAUGAGAUUUAGUAAGGGUUGCAUUUUUAAGCAGAGUUACACUGUUUUUCUGUUUUUAUUUUAUUUUCUCAAAAAAAAAAUCUUCAGCAUUUACAGAGGAAUCAAAAUACUUCUGAUCUUAAAUGCAGUUUCAGGGGGCAAGAUAGGACCCAGUACCCAGCAGAUGUCAGUCACAAUCAGCAGGGAAACAUCCCUUGUAAUUUUGUUCCUUUUGCUCUUAUUUAAAUAAGCACUUAAAUACGAGAAAGUUAAUGGCGCAGAAUAGUGCUGACUGCAUGGUUCUUAAUGCAUUUUCCAACCUUGAACCUGAGAAUGCCACAGGCUUGAGCCUCUGGACACUCGUUUGAGCAGUUAUCUGCUGGUGGCCUGGUUCCUGGGGUGACAGGCGGGUGUCCCGGGCGCGUGUGGUGACAACAGGAGUGGUGCCAGCAUGGCGCCCAGAGGUCGCCUCUGUUUGUGUCGGGGAUUCCUGGUCCUUGGGGCUUCGAGACAACUGUGAACUCAGGGCGUCCGGGGACACGCAGGCAUUUGGGGCAUUUGGGAGUCCACGCAAACCUGGACGUGAGCGCAGGCACCACUUUUAAAGUGAAAGCACGGCCCCGAGGAAGGAAUUACCCUCGCCUCGUUCCCGACCUGCUUACUGUUCUGGAAAACAAAGUAAGUUUUGUUUGUUUCUUUCUUAGUCACUCCUCUGCAUGUUUUUUCUUGCUAACAUUAUUAGACACCCAGUACCUGACAAAUGCCAAGUGUUUCCCCUUCGUUGGGAAGGAGGAUAUGAAGUUUGUUAAAUAGCUAAUUGCUUCUUUGAUCUUUUCUGUCUUCCUGUAUCUAACGUGCUGGCUUGCUUGUUAAGAGAUAGCAAGAGACUGAAAUGUAUUAUCAAUGAGAAAACAAAAGCUCUUUUUUAUUUCAAAUGCUUCGAGAACUUUGCCAUUAAUUGAAUGACAAUGACAAUGACACAGACAGGGCUUUUUCUGUGCCAGGAGCACAUCUAGCAAAACAGCCCCAGUUCACUGCCCUUAUUCUCACUGGGAAGCAGGAUGGGGGCUGAGCGCACGGGACAAAUAGAAAAGACAGUGUCCCUGUGUGGGAACUGCAGAACCCGGUGGGAAGGGCUCCUGGGCAGGGAGCUGUAGUUUAAACACCAGAUCAGCAGUUGCAGAAUACUCACAGGAAUGGGAAGGGAUGCACAGGGAACAAAAUCAAUAGCAUGUAAGUAUGCACGGAGUCAGAUGGGUACCGGAAUUAGGGAAUUAUGGGGGGGGGCACACUGUAUAAAGUAUGUGAUUGUCUAACCACUCUGCUGCACACCUGAAACUAAUACAAAAUAAUACUGAAUGUAAACUGUAAUUAAAAAAAUAACGAAAAAGAAAAGAGUCUGUCAGGGAAUGGAAAAGAGCCAAGGAAUACAAAUUAUUUAAUAAUGUGGAAAAAGACCGAUUUAAUAUAAAAAUGGGAUAAAAUAUAUAAAGAACCUCACCUUAUCAACAGAAACUCAACUUCCCCUUCCCAUUAGAACGUUUCGUGCCUUGUGGGUUCAUAGAAAUGGGUUAAUACCUUCUAGAAGGUAAUUAAGAGGCUGUAUUGCUCGUGCAGAGAUUCCGUGACGCCAGCCUAGUUCUACUACUUGGCCCCCGUUUUGCAUUUGUGUUUAUGUGCUGAUCCUGCCUCCAGAGGUGUUGCAUGGUUUGAUACAUUUUUAAUACAAAGUUCUGUGGUUUUGAAAAUGCAAAACAAAAAGAAGUGCAGGGUAGUUUGAUCUGUGAUUAAAGUGUCCUUCCUCAUAACACGGACUGCGCUUACUGCAGAAUUUCCUGACCACGUAAACAGUAGCACUUCGAAGGUGGGAGGAGGUGGUGACUGCAGGGUGGCAGCGGGAGCAGAGUCAGGGGUCUUGUUUCUAAAUCCAUUGCCACGUGUGGUGGGAAUUUGAGUCCAGGCCUCUGUGCCAUGAGCAUUCCGUUGUAUCUCGAAGUGGCGGUGACAGGACGUGGGGCGUCACCAUUUCAUUUGGAACACCUCAGGCUCCUUACGUGAAGGAGUGAGAAUUAAUUCAGCAAACAUCUUUAAGUACCUUUGUUACUUACAGCAUUGUGCUCAGAGCUGUAGUUUUUCACAGUGAAGUUUACAGAGAUUCAGUUUAGACAUUCAAGACUGAGAGCAGUUGGACACGGGGGUGAGUAGCAGAGCACCACUGUCGAGAUGAUUUAUUAAGGAUGGUGCCAAGUCAGCAGGGCAGUCCCCUUCAGAGCCGCCCCUCCUAAUUAAAGGGAAGAUGGCUGCCAUCCGUCUACUUUCAUUCGAGGCAGUAGGGGCCUGGGGUGGAAGGAAGCACUCCCCCCCCCCUUUAUUUUUCUCCCACUCUUUUUUUAGAGUCAGCUUUCUCUUGAGUCAGUGACCCAGAAGGUCACUGAUGAUCUGCCUCUCUCAGAAUGAAUAGUAACAUAGGCAUGGGAGGCACUUCACCAAAAAAGUUUAUAACGUGCAUUGAUUUAUUUAGAACUGCUUGAAUUCCGUCUGAGAGUAUCGUAAUGUCCGUGUUGGUGUUUUUGCCCCUUUUACUAUUGGCAGGAAAAGUGGGGGAAUUUUACUUUUAUUGAAUCUGCUUUAUCAUGAAAAUAUUUUAUAUUCCACUGGGCAUAAUCAGAAGACAGCAGCAAGUAGCUAUCCAGCGGGCAUGUAAAGGAAUGUUAUUCUCACCAAAACCAAGGACACCUGUUAAGUGUGAUACAUAUGUAUUAUCUCAAGGGAAAUUAUGGACAAGGAUGUUAACAGAUGUCCCAAGUUGGUCUUCUGAUGCUUCUUGGACAAGUUAUUGAAAUAACUCACGUUGUUUAGUCUUCAGUUAAAUAAUAAUAAGCCUUUUAGGCCCUUUCUCAUGAGAAGAGGUUAUGGGAGAAUUUAGUUAGUUUGGGUUCACGGCUUAAUUGCUUUUGAAAGUGUAAUCUAAUAAAAAGACUGAGCUUUCUUUCCUCCCUUACUUCCUCUUUAAAUGGAGGGAAUGUGUGCUGGUUUUAGAUGUAUUUAAGAAAAUAUGAAACGUUUUCUGUUUUUGAUUUAGAAGUCCCAUUGUAAAUGGAAAAUUCUGAAAUACUUGGUUAUUUUUGCUUUCACUUCUUUAUAUACUUAACGCAAAGUGUCAACAGUUAUCUGGAAAGAUUCGGCUCUUUACACACCCCGUCUAGCCCCUCCCCCGAGAAGUAGACCCGGAUUCCCAGAACAUGCUGUUUUUUGGAAUUCCUGAUGAUGCGGAAGCAUGUUUUUUUGUAAACCCACACAUCAUAUUUGGAAAGCCCAAAUGUGAGAGUCAUGUCUGUAAUUUUAUGUGGAGAUUUUUUCAAAUUUGUCAUCAACUUGGGAUGAACUGUCCUGGGAACGUGGGGCGUGUUUGGGUUGUUGAGCCUGGGGAGAGCGGCGCGUACCCGUAGGUCCAGAGACGCUGACACCCGGUUCAUGUGGUUGGGUAGCGCCGGACAAGUGGACCACUUCCUGGCCACUGCAGGGCGCACACUGACAUUGUUGAGUUAAUUCAGCAGUUAAUUGAGAGGCAGGUGUUUUUGGCUUUUUCAUGGGAUAAUUUUACAUAUUCAACUAGGUACUUCCAUAACUGUCUUUUUUAAGGUGUGAUUUAAAUCAAUUUGGUUUUACCCAUCAGUGUUUAUUUCAGGGCUACUAAAUAAGUGGAUUAAACGAAGCACAUUUAAAAGGUGUGACUCUGGUAGAGUGUGAUUAAUUUUAACUCACAUAGCAAAAGACACAUAGACAUGCAAGUGAACGUCGCCUCCUUGAGGUACUGUGUUAGCUGGGAAGAAUUUAACCUUCACUGCAGUGACGCCAUUUUUCCUGGGGACACAUUAGAAUGUGGGGCUUGCCAUCACCUUCAGAGCCUGCUACCCUUUUCUUAGUGCCCACAGUAGGAAAGAGUCAGCAGUCAGGUCUGAUGCCGGGUGUACGGACCGAGAACGGACCGGAGUCACGGAUUCAUGUGCACGUUUACUGAGCCACGGCCCGUGUUCUAGCAGUAAGUGCAGCAGACUCAGAGACGACCGGGUCACGGGCCUGGCCCUCCAGGCGGACGCAGUCGGGUGGGACGCAUGGCCUGGACGGAGGGUUACUUCAGGCUGACAGGGGCGAUAAGGGAGGCUCACGUGGUGCUGUGGGAGCCCAGCGGGAGUUAAAAUAAAAUCUGAGGGAGACGAGAGCUGUUGCCUGUGUGAUUUAUAAAGCAGCUUACAUAAUACCAGAAUUUUGGAUAUGAGAGUCCUGACAAAUCUCUUCUAUUUUAAGAAUGAAGAGAUUGGGUUUAUUUCUGAAAUUCUUUAAUUCUCAGCCAGUUGAAAGUCUUAUGAGAAAAGGUGUUUGUUCUAAUGGACAUCUUUUUUUUUUUUUUAACCAAAAGAAGUUUUGGUUAAAUGAAAGGUGAGGUCUUAAAAAGGUUUUAGACGUUGUUAGAAAAACUGUUUUCUCCAAAGGAUACUUCUGAAGAUUGAUUUUUUUAGAAAUCCUCACCCACACAUGUAUUUAUGGAUUCCAGAGAGAGAGGAGGGAGCGAGAGAGAGAGAGAGAGAGAAGCAUUGAUGUGAGAGAGAAGCAUUGAUCGGUUGCGUCCCGUACAUGUAGUGUCCAGGGAUUGAACCUACAACCUAGAUUUGUGUCCUGACCAGGAAUCCAGCCUGCAGCCUUUUGGUGUGUGGGACAGCACUCCAGCCAUCUGAACCACCCAGCCAAAAUUCGAAGAGUUGCUUUUAUUUUCACGUUAAUGUAGUACUUUUGGCAUACUAAGUAUACCAAAGCCUUUCAUGUCACGUUUAUUGCUAAAAAUAGCUGUAUAGCUUGUAGGAGACAGUGAACUUGAAGUUGGCCUGCAUCUCUCAAGUAUAUUGCAGGAGAGAAAAGGCUUCCCAUCUUCUUUUGUGUUGUAUUUCACAGGGACAGAAUUUCUGUCCUGUGGCCAACAGUGGAUCUCCCUUGCGGAUAGGCUCAUUUAGCUGUGAUUUGUGCAGUGUCACCCAAUCAGUGCCAGGUACUGUUCUGAAAGCUGAUGAGCAGAGGCCACGCUGCUGGAUGGCGGACCCUGGACACCGUGCUCCUCAGCAGGACCCUGUAGUUGUGCACAGUCAGCACCGCUUCCGGGGGCGGUUUCCUGCACAUGACGGCCCAGGCCUGGCUGUGGUGCUGCGCCCAGAGCUAAGGUUCUGUGCACAGAGAAAACUGGGGUAAACAUAGAGAAUGUUUAUAACCAUGGAGAGAGAAGUAAACGAAACACACUACAUGGUAGGAAAGAAAGGUUUUCUGCUGCUAGGGUGAUCAGGAACUAAUUUAUGGGUUAAGGAGCAUAUUGGAGGCAGCCAUUGAAAGAAAGGCUGUGUGGGCAGUGAGGACUUGAGGGCGGGUGUUCCAGUCCAGGGCAACAUGAGCAGAGGCAGAGGUAGGGGUGGGAAGUAGCAGUGUACUGAGUGGGCAGUGACUGAUUUGGCGUUGCUGGGCAACAGUGUGUGUCAGAGUGACUAAUGAGAAGAUAAGGUAGCAAAGGUCUGUUGAGGCCAGAGAGGGAGGGCCAUGACUGUCAUGUAACUAAACGUUGUAACUCAAUCCCGAGUCUUGUGGGGAGCAGUUGAAGAAUUUGGGGCAGGAGAGUGACAGUAGGAUCUCCUGUAGGAAGCCUGGUCUGGUGUCAGCAUGUGGGGGGUGGGGCCGUGAGGAAACCAGAGCCAGGAGCCCGUCCAAGCUGCCGUGAUACAGGAAGGCAGUGAGGAGGGCCUGAAUGGGGGCCGACGGAAAACCAGGCAGAGUCAAGAGACGGAAUUUAGGGACUGCCUGGAUCAUGGGGGCUGGCCCAGGGGGAGGAAGGUGGAAGCAAAAACCAUUCCAGGUGUCUGAACCCCGCAGCCAUGUAUUGCUUCUGCGCCGUCUGUGAGUCAUUUCACAUACAUUCUCUCAUUCAGCCGUAUCCUGUCUACUCCUGUAAGGUUGGUACUUCGGUGCUUAUUUCAGAGAUGAGAGAACUGAGGCCCAGAGAGCUUUGUCUAAAGCUGUAUAGCUAGUGGGCUAAAGAAGGGGUCUCGUCAGCAUCCCUGCUGUCCAGCUCCUGCUCUUUCCACUGUGCUAGGUUUGGGAGGCAGAAGACGAUCUCUGCCCCUUUCGGACACAUUCCGUGCAGGUGCUGGAGGUGGGCCAUCUGGGCUGGAGACGUGGAACUGAAUCUCAAGGGCAAACCUAGGAGGAUCGGGUACAAGGGUUUAAGAAUCAACUUCUUGUUCACUUAUUCAACAUAUACUUGCUGGUCCAUACUACCUUAUGGACCAGCACAGCACGGCCGUGGCAGUGCAGUGGUGAAGGAGAGAGCCGUAGUCUUGCGUCACAGACGUGCACUCGUGAAGGGGACUCCAUGCUGUUGGGUUAGUGUCCUGCAGGGGCAGGGGCAGGUUUGCCCUAGAAACACCCACCCAGGGGACCUAACCAAGUCUGGGGACAGGGAACAUCUGAAAGAUGUGGUGGAACUUCACAUGACACUCAGAGGAUGAGUGCCAAGAUGAAAGGUGACCCAGAGGCCAUGGAGAGACACUGGGUCUGAAGAGCUGGACAUUGUGUGGCUGGAAGGGAGGGACCGUUGCAGGGAGGUACGGCUGUGGAGAGGUCGGUGGCGGCUACUUCAGGAGAGGUCUCCAAAGCUGUGUUGGGGGGUCUGGUUAUUUUCCGAAGGACACAGGGAGGUAUUCGUGAACAGUGCCCACUGGGGUCACACGAUCAGACUUGGUUUUAGAAAGGCCAUUUUGUCUGCUGGAGAACAGGGAGGGUGGCAAGUCCUGGAAGCAGGAGAACUGCACAGGAGACCGAUGGGAAGAGGGUACUGGGUGAGAGAGGCUCUGGUCGCUGCUUAACGACAUUGACAUGUUGGAAUUUGGGGAGUUGUUGGAUGUGGAAGAUGAGGGAGAGAGAGGAAUAAAAGUUAACGCGUUAGAGUUCUGUGGGGUUGUUGCUGGUACUUAGCUAGGGGACACGGAAGGACCCGAUUUGGGGUUUGGGACUGUUGGUUUGGGUCAGCCUAAGUGAGUGCUGAAGGGAGCUGAAGAACAGGAAGUUGCAAUCGGAGGAGAGGAGAUGUCAGACUUUAAUACUGCGGAAAUGAAGCAGUUCGUGUAACAGCAGAAGAAAGGAGAAGGUCACUAGAAGUGGGUGAGUGACGUGGAGGCGGGCUGGCUCUGGGACUUUCCGGUCUAACCUGGGCACGCUGGCGGCCAUCGCAUUUGCCAGAAGUCCUACAGAAAUGAGGUGAGGUGCUGGUGCGUGUUAGCGCCCCGUCCAGCCAACAGCUAGGUGUGUGCCGGGGCAGAGGACCCAGCUCCUUCGUGUGUGUCCCUUGGUUCUCGGAGGGAGUAACUGGCACAGUAGUCAUUUACUGGGCCUGACGGGGGCCAGGGACUUCGUUUUAAGUGCAUUACAAACAUAAUCCAGUAGGGUCUUCCCCAUGUCAUCAUCCCAUUGUACAUGUACAGGAAGCAACAACAAGAGAGGUGAAUCAGGUUUCCCAGGUAGGUGGCGGAGCAGCGACACCAGCCGGCAUGCUCCAUCAUUUCCUCUGCCCUUGCCACUGCCUCCCGGGGGGGCCUGCCACUCUUCCCUGCGGACCACCAGCUCCGUGAGGACAGGAACUUCUUUUCAUUGAGUCACCAUAUUUUAGCAUCUUCUACAGGGCCUGACACAUAGUAGGUGCUUAAUGCAUAUGGGCGGAGUGGCUGACAGACUCGCUGUGUGCUCUGUGAUCAUUAUCAGCUGGCAGUGAGCUGGGAGGAGAGCGGGCUGGCCUGAGAAGGGUAGUCAGACGCACGCAUUUGGCCUUCGGACACCUGUAUCUGCUCUGUCCCUGCUCCAGGAAGAGCCUGUCCACCUGCCUUUGGUGAGGGGCCGCAGCACUCAUUCAGUAAAACUCCUCUGCCCAAGAAGUCUAGUGACACCGUGUGUAUCCUUGUCAUGAGCAUUGAAGACUCUUGGCGCAUAGCUUGUACUCCAUGCUGGUCUGGGACAACCUUUAAACAAUACUGGUGCUUUUAAGGAAACGUCAAAUCGUGUAUUUGGGGCACGUUCCUGAAGUCCCUGCUUCCUCCACGGUUCCACACUCCUUUCUGUUUCUCUCUCAGUGGGUCUUUGUCUCACGCUCUCCACGUGCCUGUUCGUGCGUGCACACACCUCAGUUUGUCGCCAUCUCCUGAACAGUUCUCAGGAGAUGAUCUCAGUUCUUUUUUAAUGAAAUACAUGGUGAUACAUGGCCUCUGCAAUAAAUGGUGUUGGGAGAGCUGGACAGCUACAUGCAAAAAAAUGAAACUCGAUCACCAGCUUACACCAUACACAAAAAUAAAUUCAAAGUGGAUAAAAGACUUAAAUGUAAGUUGUGACACCAUAAAAGUCCCAGCAGAAAACAUCAGCAGGAAAAUCUCAGACAUUCCACACAGCAACAUCUUCACUGACAUGUCCCCUAAAGCAAGGGAUGUAAAGGAAAGAAUAACCAAACAGGAUCUCAUCAAAUUAAAAAGCUUCUGCAUGGCUAAAGAAAACAGCAUUAAAAUGAAAAGAGAACCAACUAAAUGGAAAACAUAUUUGCCAAUGAUA
This is a long non-coding RNA of Artibeus jamaicensis (Jamaican fruit-eating bat), 29931 nucleotides long. RefSeq lists it as uncharacterized. The transcript has 5 exons. The record is from RefSeq and is a predicted model, not a curated record. Lineage: Eukaryota; Metazoa; Chordata; Mammalia; Chiroptera; Phyllostomidae.